This 253-nucleotide ribosomal RNA is filed under the name uncultured bacterium. RNAcentral's name for it is "partial 16S ribosomal RNA". It matches the Rfam family "Bacterial small subunit ribosomal RNA", at positions 524 to 776 of the family's 1533-position model. The record is from RNAcentral.
UACAGGGGGGGCAAGCGUUGUUCGGAAUUACUGGGCGUAAAGGGCUCGUAGGUGGCCAACUAAGUCAGACGUGAAAUCCCUCAGCUUAACUGGGGAACUGCGUCUGAUACUGGAUGGCUUGAGUUUGGGAGAGGGAUGCGGAAUUCCAGGUGUAGCGGUGAAAUGCGUAGAUAUCUGGAGGAACACCGGUGGCGAAGGCGGAUCUCUGGGCCUGUUCUGACGCUGAGGCGCGAAAGCUAGGGGAGCGAACAGG